GCAAGUCGAGCGCUUCCCUUUCGGGGAGGAGCGGCGGACGGGUUAGUAACGCGUGGGAACAUACCCUUUUCUACGGAAUAGCCUCGGGAAACUGAGAGUAAUACCGUAUACGCCCUUCGGGGGAAAGAUUUAUCGGAGAAGGAUUGGCCCGCGUAAGAUUAGAUAGUUGGUGGGGUAAUGGCCUACCAAGUCUACGAUCUUUAGCUGGUUUGAGAGGAUGAUCAGCAACACUGGGACUGAGACACGGCCCAGACUCCUACGGGAGGCAGCAGUGGGGAAUCUUAGACAAUGGGCGCAAGCCUGAUCUAGCGAUGCCGCGUGAGUGACGAAGGCCUUAGGGUCGUAAAGCUCUUUCACCAGGGAUGAUAAUGACAGUACCUGGAAAAGAAACCCCGGCUAACUCCGUGCCAGCAGCCGCGGUAAUACGGAGGGGGUUAGCGUUGUUCGGAAUUACUGGGCGUAAAGCGCACGUAGGCGGAUUAGUAAGUUAGAGGUGAAAUCCCAGGGCUCAACCCUGGAACUGCCUUUAAUACUGCUAGUCUUGAGUUCGAGAGAGGUAAGUGGAAUUCCGAGUGUAGAGGUGAAAUUCGUAGAUAUUCGGAGGAACACCAGUGGCG
This 617-nucleotide ribosomal RNA is filed under the name Octadecabacter sp. Sydgb1. RNAcentral describes it as "bacterial SSU rRNA". It matches the Rfam family "Bacterial small subunit ribosomal RNA", at positions 57 to 717 of the family's 1533-position model. The record is from RNAcentral. Lineage: Bacteria; Pseudomonadati; Pseudomonadota; Alphaproteobacteria; Rhodobacterales; Roseobacteraceae.